CAUUAGAUGACUGAAAGUAAGUAUUGGUCUCUUAAACCACUUUAUAAUAAAGUAACGUUUAUUUCUAAUGA
RNAcentral lists this transfer RNA (71 nucleotides) under Italochrysa insignis. RNAcentral's name for it is "tRNA-Lys". The record is from RNAcentral. Lineage: Eukaryota; Metazoa; Arthropoda; Insecta; Neuroptera; Chrysopidae.